Molecule: ribosomal RNA, 901 nt
Filed under: uncultured bacterium
Lineage: Bacteria
Description: bacterial SSU rRNA
Rfam family: Bacterial small subunit ribosomal RNA
Source: RNAcentral
ACACAUGCAAGUCGAGGGGCAGCAUGGUCUUAGCUUGCUAAGGCCGAUGGCGACCGGCGCACGGGUGAGUAACGCGUAUCCAACCUGCCUUACACUCUUGGACAGCCUUCUGAAAGGGAGAUUAAUACAAGAUGUUAUCAUGAGUAAGCAUUUUCGCAUGAUUAAAGGUUUACCGGUGUAAGAUGGGGAUGCGUUCCAUUAGAUAGUAGGCGGGGUAACGGCCCACCUAGUCUUCGAUGGAUAGGGGUUCUGAGAGGAAGGUCCCCCACAUUGGAACUGAGACACGGUCCAAACUCCUACGGGAGGCAGCAGUGAGGAAUAUUGGUCAAUGGACGAGAGUCUGAACCAGCCAAGUAGCGUGAAGGAUGAAGGUUCUAUGGAUUGUAAACUUCUUUUAUACGGGAAUAAACGGAUCCACGUGUGGAUUUUUGCAUGUACCGUAUGAAUAAGGAUCGGCUAACUCCGUGCCAGCAGCCGCGGUAAUACGGAGGAUCCGAGCGUUAUCCGGAUUUAUUGGGUUUAAAGGGAGCGUAGAUGGGUUGUUAAGUCAGUUGUGAAAGUUUGCGGCUCAACCGUAAAAUUGCAAUUGAUACUGGCAGUCUUGAGUACAGUUGAGGUAGGCGGAAUUCGUGGUGUAGCGGUGAAAUGCUUAGAUAUCACGAAGAACUCCGAUUGCGAAGGCAGCUUACUAACCUGUAACUGACAUUGAUGCUCGAAAGUGUGGGUAUCAAACAGGAUUAGAUACCCUGGUAGUCCACACGGUAAACGAUGAAUACUCGCUGUAGGCGAUAUACGGUCUGCGGCCAAGCGAAAGCAUUAAGUAUUCCACCUGGGGAGUACGCCGGCAACGGUGAAACUCAAAGGAAUUGACGGGGGCCCGCACAAGCGGAGGAACAUGUGG